GAUGAAGAACGUAGCGAAAUGCGAUAAGUAAUGUGAAUUGCAGAAUUCAGUGAAUCAUCGAAUCUUUGAACGCUCAUUGCGACCCCUGGUAUUCCGGGGGGCAUGCCUGUUCGAGCGUCAUUUCACCACUCAAGCCUCGCUUGGUAUUGGGCAACGCGGUCCGCCGCGUGCCUCAAAUCGACCGGCUGGGUCUUCUGUCCCCUAAGCGUUGUGGAAACUUUCGCUAAAGGGUGUUCGGGAGGCUACGCCGUAAAACAACCCCAUUUCUAAGGUUGACCUCGGAUCAGGUAGGGAUACCCGCUGAACUUAAGCAUAUCAAUAAGCGGAGGA
Molecule: unclassified non-coding RNA, 330 nt
Filed under: soil metagenome
Description: partial contains 5.8S ribosomal RNA, internal transcribed spacer 2, and large subunit ribosomal RNA
Rfam family: 5.8S ribosomal RNA (bases 1-120)
Source: RNAcentral